This 399-nucleotide ribosomal RNA is filed under the name uncultured bacterium. Its description in RNAcentral is "bacterial SSU rRNA". It matches the Rfam family "Bacterial small subunit ribosomal RNA", at positions 30 to 430 of the family's 1533-position model. The record is from RNAcentral.
AUUGAACGCUGGCGGCAUGCCUUACACAUGCAAGUCGAACGGCAGCGCGGGAGCAAUCCUGGCGGCGAGUGGCGAACGGGUGAGUAAUACAUCGGAACGUGCCCAAUCGUGGGGGAUAACGCAGCGAAAGCUGUGCUAAUACCGCAUACGAUCUACGGAUGAAAGCAGGGGAUCGCAAGACCUUGCGCGAAUGGAGCGGCCGAUGGCAGAUUAGGUAGUUGGUGAGGUAAAGGCUCACCAAGCCUUCGAUCUGUAGCUGGUCUGAGAGGACGACCAGCCACACUGGGACUGAGACACGGCCCAGACUCCUACGGGAGGCAGCAGUGGGGAAUUUUGGACAAUGGGCGAAAGCCUGAUCCAGCCAUGCCGCGUGCAGGAUGAAGGCCUUCGGUUGUUAAC